UCUGUUAUGAGGUUUUGUUUCAUUUCGUUGGAAUCAGAGUUGGGUUCGCUCGGAUCUGUUGAGAUUCCGAUGAUGAACACCGUGGGUUCAUCUUUGAUUCUGGUUUUUUAGGGGUUUUCUUUCUAAAAUUUGGGGUCCGUUCUUGUUGUGUUGGGGAAAAUAUGAUUCGGGUAACGGUUUUGAAGAAAAGGUAAGGUGGAAGAGGAGAGA
This 210-nucleotide long non-coding RNA is filed under the name Lathyrus oleraceus (garden pea). Its description in RNAcentral is "Pisum sativum (pea) long non-coding RNA (PSAT_LNC026891)". Lineage: Eukaryota; Viridiplantae; Streptophyta; Magnoliopsida; Fabales; Fabaceae. The record is from RNAcentral.